AUUGAACGCUGGCGGCAGGCUUAACACAUGCAAGUCGAGCGGGGAAAGGUAGCUUGCUACCUGACCUAGCGGCGGACGGGUGAGUAAUGCUUAGGAAUCUGCCUAUUAGUGGGGGACAACAUUCCGAAAGGAAUGCUAAUACCGCAUACGCCCUACGGGGGAAAGCAGGGGAUCUUCGGACCUUGCGCUAAUAGAUGAGCCUAAGUCAGAUUAGCUAGUUGGUGGGGUAAAGGCCUACCAAGGCGACGAUCUGUAGCGGGUCUGAGAGGAUGAUCCGCCACACUGGGACUGAGACACGGCCCAGACUCCUACGGGAGGCAGCAGUGGGGAAUAUUGGACAAUGGGCGAAAGCCUGAUCCAGCCAUGCCGCGUGUGUGAAGAAGGCCUUUUGGUUGUAAAGCACUUUAAGCGAGGAGGAGGCUACCGAGAUUAAUACUCUUGGAUAGUGGACGUUACUCGCAGAAUAAGCACCGGCUAACUCUGUGCCAGCCGCCGCGGUAA
RNAcentral lists this ribosomal RNA (501 nucleotides) under uncultured bacterium. RNAcentral describes it as "partial 16S ribosomal RNA". It matches the Rfam family "Bacterial small subunit ribosomal RNA", at positions 30 to 523 of the family's 1533-position model. The record is from RNAcentral.